UCUAUUAUCUAUGAUUUUUUCUUUCAUAAAUUAUUUAUACUAUUGUUUUAAAGUAUUUCAGUAUAUGUGAUGUAUGUUCAGUGUUGUCCAUAGGUGUGUGGUGUUGUCAACGCAUACGAUUAGUAAAUAAUACUGCCCAAUCAAUACCUACUCAUUCAACAUGAUUAAUAAAACCAUUUUGUAUUAGCAAACAUAAAUCCUAUAAGAAGCCUCGUAGUACUAUUUAACAUUCAAUUGACAUUUAUGGAACGUGUUGAUUAUAUAUGUGUAACAAAGCCUCUAGAAAGCUUAAUUUUGUUUUAUGUAAAUCAAUAAUUUUUAAAAAAUAUAAAAAUCAUAUUAAUUGGUAAUUUUUUACAUUAGUUGACAUUCGAGUUGAGACAUGAAGUUUAGCCAUGUAGGUAGAAUGACCAAGUAGUGUGGUAGUAUUUAUUAGAAUUUUGUUUAUUAUUUGUUUAAAAAUCAAUGUGACUGAGAUACAGGCUGUUAAAGUAUUGUUAAUCGAAGGAAAUUUCGAUAGGUACGGCCCUGACUUCAGCCUUCCGUCAGCUGUUUCCUCCAAACAUUGUUUAUUCUAAAACAUAUCUCGUAACAUCAUUCCAAUAUAUCAGCCCGCCUUUGGCGGGCAAGGACAUUGUAAAAACUCCAGUCUAUCAUAAUUCUACCUAACUAAACGAUGACAUCAUCAAUGCAUAUUUGGCGAGAACAGCUGAUGAAGGGCUGCAGCCAGGGCCGUAUCAACCGGAAUUUCCUCCGAUUAAGAAAACUUUAGGAGCCUUAUCUCCAGCUACAUAGAUUUCCGCAUGGAAUUAAUACUACCACACGAUUCUACUUGGUGAGUACUACUUACCUGACUUAACUUCAUCACUCAACUCGUCUGUCAACUAAUGUAAAAAAUGGCCUAUUAAUAUUAUACCAAAAUUACGUCAAAUCUAUUAUGGUUUAUGCUGAUAUUAUACGACGUCCUUUUCUACGAAAGCGUAGAAGGACCAAACAAUCUUUUUUGGAAUUUCGACUUUGAACUUGAAAUGUUGACUUGCAACUCGAAACUUCGACUUUAUCUCGAAAUUUCGUCUUACAACUCAAAAUUUCAAAUUACAACUCGAAAUUUCAACUUGUAACUCCUAAGUGCUUAUUAAUUCACAACCUAAUUCAAUCCUAACCUAAGCUAAGGUAAUAUGAAGAAAGGACAAGAGCAUAUAUAAUAGAUAUACAAAUGGGACAAGAAUACUACAAUAUAACACUCAUUUCGUUCGUGUUGUCAUUACCUUCUGUAACCUUAUGAUUACAACCGUUCGGAUGAAAGCUUCAAUAACGGAUCAUAACUUUAAGGGUAGGUAAAGAUAACACGAACGAAGUGAGUGUUGUUGCAGUCGUAUACAUUUUUUGUUAACACAAUUGAACCAAACCUAACCUGUUCAUAUUUUAUAGGAACAUUAUAAAAAUUGGAUGCCAAGUUAAUGGAGCAUUUUGUCUCGUCAAUCAACUUUUCGCUUUUGGAUGUAGUGCUAGCUGAAGGAAACGUAAAAGCUUUUACCCUGCGCAGUGUGUUGUUGCUAAAGAAAUGAUUUAUCAUAAUGAAUUGCUUGGCUAACAUAUAAGAGAGAUUGGGUUGUUAAUUUUGACCCUAGCGAUGACGACAUGGGAUGUCUGACCUGAUACCCUUUCUCAAUUUGGUUUGCAUUCCAUUCGUGUAAACUAUGGAACGCUACAUUCUUCAGUUAGUUCAGGAACAUAAAAACUCCAGAUUCCGUAUGUUACAAAACAUUGGUUGUAUCAGUGCCCUUGCACUCUGCAACGUGGUAAUACCCGAAGUUUGAGGAAGGCGUGAAAGUGCCUUUUACCGUUGGGAACGAAGAAAGUGUGCUGUAGCAGAAGGAAAGAUUUAUGACAAUGAACUGGUAAGUAACAGUAUUGAUUAAAAAUAGUAAACGAAGUCUUACAAACAUUAAUUUCCUAGAAUUCAUAAGGCCUGUUAGGCGUUUAAAGCUUCAGUAGGUUUUGCUGAUUUUGCCACAAAAAUUUUUAAAGAACAUCAAUUUGCACUUCCAACCCCCAAUUUAAAAACGUUUUUAUUUCUUGAUUAUUAAUAUUUUAAAUCCUGAUUUCGAAAGCCGAAUCAUUAAUAAGUAAAAGAAGUCAGAACUGCUACUGCAGCCUGACGUUCAGAAUACUUUGCAAUGAAGUGGGUUGCCUAUAUCGAGGACCAACAGUCACCAGCCGUAUUUAAAAUAAUUUGUAUUUUAAAUUGAAACCUUCCUGCGAAAUUAAAUGAGUGCGCUGUAGUCUAGAUCUAGAUAAAGAUAGAAAUGUUACAGUGCGAGUCGAAAUUCGUAAGCAACUAAAUUAUUGGAUUUUAAUAAAAUAAUCUAAAUUUUUUUGGUACAAAAGCAGUCUAUGAAAAUGAUUAUG
Molecule: long non-coding RNA, 2412 nt
Organism: Agrilus planipennis (emerald ash borer)
Lineage: Eukaryota; Metazoa; Arthropoda; Insecta; Coleoptera; Buprestidae
Exons: 3
Source: RefSeq, a predicted model, not a curated record